This 478-nucleotide ribosomal RNA is filed under the name uncultured bacterium. RNAcentral's name for it is "SSU rRNA". It matches the Rfam family "Bacterial small subunit ribosomal RNA", at positions 26 to 518 of the family's 1533-position model. The record is from RNAcentral.
AGGACGAACGCUGGCGGCGUGCUUAACACAUGCAAGUCGAGCGGGGCUCCUCCUUCGGGAGGAUGCCCUAGCGGCGAACGGGUGAGUAACACGUGGGCAACCUGCCCCUAGCACUGGGAUAACCCCGGGAAACCGGGGCUAAUACCGGAUACGACUUCGGAAGGCAUCUUCUGAAGUGGAAAAGGUUACUGGCUAGGGAUGGGCCCGCGGCCUAUCAGCUUGUUGGUGGGGUAAUGGCCCACCAAGGCGACGACGGGUAGCCGGCCUGAGAGGGCGACCGGCCACACUGGGACUGAGACACGGCCCAGACUCCUACGGGAGGCAGCAGUGGGGAUAUUGCACAAUGGGCGAAAGCCUGAUGCAGCGACGCCGCGUGAGGGAUGACGGCCUUCGGGUUGUAAACCUCUUUCAGCAGGGACGAAGCGAAAGUGACGGUACCUGCAGAAGAAGCACCGGCCAACUACGUGCCAGCAGCCGC